UUGAAAAUUAUGAUGCCAUCCCAAACAGUCAGCUGGAUGAAAUCAUCAGAGAUAUUACUGCACACACUGCAAAUGCUGGUGUGAGACUGGUUCAAGGUAGUAUUAGAGGAAGGGGAUACAGAGUUCAAAGAGAAAGGUUCAGAGAGAGGAUGCGUAUUAUUGAUCCAGCAAGAAUUCUGAUACGACAAAGACGUCCCAACAGAAAAAGAGUGUACAUUGUCAGAGGAUCAAACCACUUAUGGCAUAUAGACUCCAACCAUAAACUGAUUGCAUGGAGAUUUGUUCUUCAUGGCUGCAUUGAUGGAUUCAGCAGAACGGUUAUUUGUUUGAGAUUUGCCUCAAAAAAUCGUGCUGCAACAGUACUGUCUUUCUUUCAGAUUGGAGUCUCCUAAUUUGGUUUGUCAUCAAGAGUAAGGGGAGACAGGGGCCAUGAAAAUGUACAUGUUGCACAGAACAUGAUCGAAAGAAGAACAACAGACCAGGAAAGCUUUAUUGUGGGAAGGAGUGUGCAUAACCAAAGGAUUUGAACGUCUCUGGGGGGAUGUGAACAGGGUUGUGUCAGACUUUUAUAGGCAGCUUUUCCAGUACAUGAGUCCACUAGCAUUGUGGAAUUCUGGUAUGA
Long non-coding RNA from Clarias gariepinus (North African catfish), 622 nucleotides. RefSeq lists it as uncharacterized. Lineage: Eukaryota; Metazoa; Chordata; Actinopteri; Siluriformes; Clariidae. The transcript is spliced from 3 exons. The record is from RefSeq and is a predicted model, not a curated record.